RNAcentral lists this ribosomal RNA (1287 nucleotides) under Sulfobacillus sp. YTH2. RNAcentral describes it as "bacterial SSU rRNA". It matches the Rfam family "Bacterial small subunit ribosomal RNA", at positions 189 to 1508 of the family's 1533-position model. The record is from RNAcentral. Lineage: Bacteria; Bacillati; Bacillota; Clostridia; Eubacteriales; Clostridiales Family XVII. Incertae Sedis.
GAUGCUAUGCGGGAAAGGAUGCUAUGGCAUCGCUGAGAGAGGACCCCGCGGCGCAUUAGCUAGUUGGUAGGGUAAAGGCCUACMAAGGCGACGAUGCGUAGCCGACCUGAGAGGGUGACCGGCCACACUGGGAUUGAGACACGGCCCAGACUCCUACGGGAGGCAGCAGUAGGGAAUCUUCCGCAAUGGGCGCAAGCUGACGGAGCAACGCCGCGUGAGCGAGGAAGGCUUCGGGUUGUAAAGCUAAGUCAAGGGGGAAGAGCGGCAAGGAGAGGGAAUGCUCUUUGCGAGAGGGUACCCCAAGAGGAAGCCCCGGCAAACUACGUGCCAGCAGCCGCGGUAAUCGUAGGGGGCAAGCGUUGUCCGGAAUCACUGGGMGUAAAGGGCGMGUAGGGGGUUCUACCAGUCUGGGGUGAAAGGCCAGGGCUCAACCUUGGGAAUGCCUUGGAAACUGUAGGACUUGAGUGCUGGAGAGGCAAGGGGAAUUCCACGUGUAGGGGUGAAAUGMGUAGAGAUGUGGAGGAAUACMAGUGGMGAAGGCGCCUUGCUGGAAAGUGACUGACGMUGAGGCACGAAAGCGUGGGGAGAAAACAGGAUUAGAUACCCUGGUAGUCCACGCCGUAAACGAUGAGUGCUAGGUGUUGGGGGCCGCCUGGGGAGUACGGUCGCAAGACUGAAACUCAAAGGAAUUGACGGGGGCCCGCACAAGCAGUGGAGCAUGUGGUUUAAUUCGAAGCAACGCGAAGAACCUUACCAGGGCUUGACAUCCCUCUGACGGUAUCAGAGAUGAUACGUCUUCGGGGCAGAGGAGACAGGUGGUGCAUGGUUGUCGUCAGCUCGUGUCGUGAGAUGUUGGGUUAAGUCCCGCAACGAGCGCAACCCUUGACCUGUGUUACCAGCACGUAGAGGUGGGGACUCACAGGUGACUGCCGGCGCAAGUCGGAGGAAGGCGGGGAUGACGUCAAAUCAUCAUGCCCCUGAUGUCCUGGGCGACACACGUGCUACAAUGGGCGGCACAACGGGAAGCGAGAGAGCGAUCUGGAGCGAACCCCUGAAAACCGCUCGUAGUUCGGAUUGCAGGCUGCAACUCGCCUGCAUGAAGCCGGAAUUGCUAGUAAUCGCGGAUCAGCAUGCCGCGGUGAAUCCGUUCCCGGGCCUUGUACACACCGCCCGUCACACCACGAGAGUUGGCAACACCUGAAGUCGGUGGGGUAACCCGAGAGGGGGCCAGCCGCCGAAGGUGGGGUCGAUGAUUGGGGUGAAGUCGUAACAAGGUAGCCAGAGMUC